UACGGAAGGCAGCAGGGGGAAUAUUGCACAAUGGGCGAAAGCCUGAUGCAGCUAUGCCGCGUGUAUGAAGAAGGCCUUAGGGUUGUAAAGUACUUUCAUCGGGGAGGAAAAAACAAAACUAAUAAUUUUAUUUCUUGACGUUACCCGAAAAAGAAGCACCGGCUAACUCCGUGCCAGCAGCCGCGGUAAUACGGAGGGUGCUAGCGUUAAUCGGAAUUACUGGGCGUAAAGGGCACGCAGGCGGUUAAUUAAGUUGGAUGUGAAAUCCCCGGGCUUAACCUGGGAAUGGCAUUCAAGACUGGUUAGCUAGAGUCUUGUAGAGGGGGUAGAAUUCCAUGUGUAGCGGUGAAAUGCGUAGAGAUGUGGAGGAAUACCGGUGGCGAAGGCGGCCCCUGGACAAAGACUGACGCUCAUGUGCGAAAGCGUGGGGAGCAAACAGGGAUUAGAUACC
This 451-nucleotide ribosomal RNA is filed under the name uncultured bacterium. RNAcentral's name for it is "bacterial SSU rRNA". It matches the Rfam family "Bacterial small subunit ribosomal RNA", at positions 340 to 786 of the family's 1533-position model. The record is from RNAcentral.